Molecule: ribosomal RNA, 427 nt
Filed under: uncultured bacterium
Lineage: Bacteria
Description: bacterial SSU rRNA
Rfam family: Bacterial small subunit ribosomal RNA
Source: RNAcentral
GGGCCCGCACAAGCGGUGGAGUAUGUGGUUUAAUUCGAUGCAACGCGAAGAACCUUACCAGGGUUUGACAUCCUGCGAAUCUCUUGGAAACAGGAGAGUGCCUUCGGGAACGCAGUGACAGGUGGUGCAUGGCUGUCGUCAGCUCGUGUCGUGAGAUGUUCGGUUAAGUCCGGCAACGAGCGCAACCCUUGUCCUUAGUUGCCAGCAGUUCGGCUGGGCACUCUAAGGAGACUGCCGGUGUGAAACCGGAGGAAGGUGGGGAUGACGUCAAGUCCUCAUGGCCCUUAUGCCCAGGGCUACACACGUGCUACAAUGGGCGGUACAAAGGGUUGCGAAGCCGCGAGGUGGAGCCAAUCCCAAAAAGCCGUCCUCAGUUCGGAUUACAGUCUGCAACUCGACUGUAUGAAGGUGGAAUCGCUAGUAAUCG